Molecule: long non-coding RNA, 240 nt
Organism: Pseudopipra pipra
Lineage: Eukaryota; Metazoa; Chordata; Aves; Passeriformes; Pipridae
Exons: 3
Source: RefSeq, a predicted model, not a curated record
GUGGCUGGGACAUGCUCCUCAAGGCUGACAGCCACCACUAUGCAGUGGGUCUGCUGGCCAGGGAGCUGUGCCAUGUAUCCCGCUCCUUCUGCCGCAGCAUCGCCGUCAGCCUGCUCCCGCGGCUCAGCAGGGGAGAGCCCCUGUGGGAACUGCCUGCCCUGGCGUUCCUGGUGGAGGUCCUGCACUGCCUGAACCCCAGACAAUUUGGGCCCAGCAUCCUGCAGAUUAUUUCCAGGCACC